GUGCCGUUCUCAUCCUCCAGAGUUGAUGUCUCAAGCUUAUCCAUAACCCAAAGGUUCUCCUUCUCAAGAGAUGCAUCGUGCAAGAACGAGGUUGUUUCUUGACAACUGUCAAGAACAACAUAUUGAGGGCCAGAGAGAUAAGGUUUUGGCUCGAUUGGAGGUCAUGAUGG
This 170-nucleotide unclassified non-coding RNA is filed under the name Oryza sativa (Asian cultivated rice). RNAcentral's name for it is "partial microRNA MIR456 precursor". Lineage: Eukaryota; Viridiplantae; Streptophyta; Magnoliopsida; Poales; Poaceae. The record is from RNAcentral.